GUUAUUUAGGAAAUGUGUGUGGGAUGGUAUUGACUUUUUUGAUUUAUCAGUGAAAAGGAACUUGUAGAAUAAAUUAAGCCAUAAAAUCAGAGGGCUCCCUCACAGGAAGAGAGAAAAGGUUGGAGGUGAGUGGGAGGCAGGGUACUGACAUUCUGCCUCCUUUGCUCCACUUAGCAUUUAGGAUGUUGACCGUAGGGCUCAUUCCAUCUACUGGUGAUCCAACAUCAGGUGGAGUAGAAGAAUACCAUGGGUGAGUAUAUAGGGCUUCAGGUAUUUAUUUAGUCUGCUGGGUCAUUUUGUGUUUAAACUCUUAGGACCAAUUAAAGAGGGUAAUUUCCUAACUGAAAAACUUCCUCUUUGCUGCAUUGCUAGACUAUGUUGUCUAGCCUACUCACAACUGAUGUGCCACUGAAAUUUUUCAGGACAAAAAGUUAACCUCCAAUGAAGAGGGAUUCUUGGCUUUAUAAAAGGUGGUGACACACAGUACGGAUCCCAGUGUCUAAGGAACAGCUGCUGCUCUCUGAGACACAGAAAGGAAGCCAUUGAAACUCACAGAAACUGCAGUUCAGAGAGUAAUUUGCCUCACAGGAGGUAGAGGUGUCACCCUCAUUGGAAAAAUUGAUAGCAAAAAAAGCCAUUCCCCACAGUGGCCCAGGGGGAGUGAGGCCUUUGAGGUGUCCCAGAUAAAGGGAAGAGCCAGCUCAUUAGAUAGAGGUGGGGGACAGACAGAGAGCUACCUGAACAACUGCAGAAGUACUUGGGCCCCCAGAGAGGAAGCCAGGCUGCCUCUUAGGGCCACACUAGUUUAUUAAUAGGGACAUGUCACAUGAGAGACUUGGCCACCUAGGUCUGUUUCACAACUUAGGCCAGUGUUUUUCAAGUGUAGCAAAAAGAUUAGAAUUUGGAGAAGGAAGUAGUGAAAAGUAUCCUUGAGACAUAUAUAUUUUUUUUUAAUCUUGCAGACUUUCAACAAUGACAGAACAAAGGAAAUGGUAGAAGUGGAUUUUCCUUCUACUCCACAAACUACUUCUCCUCUUCCAGGAUAUUAUCACUAUGUAGAAGGAACUUCUUUUGAAAAUACAUUCCUGCUGUUCACAAAAUUAUAGAUGUUCUUCCUUUACAGAAGUCCUGGAGAUUCAGUGGAGGACAAGAAAGACAAAGAGAAGAAUUACAUGGCUCAUACUCUUCAAAGAGAAUAAUGGAAAGAGAUAAAGAAAUUCAUGAAAAGAAUUAUUUGGUGUUUCUGAAAAAACGACAAGGGGACAUGGGGAAUGGCCAAAAUACGGGACUGAGGAGGACCCCCUCAAAUGCUGUAGUUCAACUUUCUACUUCCCAGCAGGACAAAUGGGAAGAAAGUUCCAGCAUAUGCCAGUCUUGGAAGUAUAGUACUCACAUCUACUUUUGUUGUUGUUGUUGUUGUUUUGUUGUGUUGUGUUCUGUUUUACUGCCUUGGGGAGAUGUAAUAAAGAGAAAAUCCAAUGCCUCCACCAGCUGAUGGUGUUUAUUUUAAAGAAAGCAAAUAAAGUAUUUGUUGCAGUAAAUGGAAAAAACUACAGCAUGAAUUAAGCUUGAAAAAUGAAAAAAAAACUUCUGACGUGAUCUGAACUGAAUGGUAACUAAUAUCUUUCCUAGGAUAUCUAUGUCUCACGUUUGAUGUAAAAAAGAACGGAUCUGAAAAUGCUUUGCUUAGCUGUUAAAUACGUUUAGCAUGUUCUUCCCUCCUUUCAUGAUGGAGGUAAAUUACAGCAAGGUGGAAGCCCAUUCUCAUUGGGCUUCCUGCUACCAUCCCACUCAUAGCUACCUCAAUUAGUCACCAAGUGAAUGAUGACUACAGAACCAAAGAUUUAGGUUAAAAAGCACUUUUCAUCUCAAGAGUAAUUCACAGCAAGAAAUGCUCCUCCUCUUACUCCAUGACCUUUCAGAAUGCCAUCGCUACACAGAAAAUAACAGGAUGGUACCUGCCUUGGGCAUUCAUCUUACUUUGGAAGUCAGAGCAAAAUUUGGAGGAAGGUGAGGUCAGGGGUGAAGUGGCAACGUUCUUUCCAAUUUUUAGUCUCACUCUAAGUUAUCAACCACUGCAUGCAGACAUUGCAACAUUGUGCUUAGUGGCUGCAGAAGGAACCAAGUGGAUGUGGAAUGCACAAAGGAGGGAUGCUAACAAGGAAAAGGGGGUCUUUCAAGUGUUUCAAUGGUACUCAGACACGAACAGAAACAUGAAUGACUAUCCAUGAUGCAAAAUGCCAGGGCAUGGAGUCAGAAAAACAAGGUGUGAGUUCCAGCUUUCCAGCUUUCUAAAUAUGUGUCCUGAUAAACACAUUUAACUUCUCUGAUGCUCAGUAUUUUCCCAAAUAUGAAGUGAAGAAAAUUACACCACCUCUCCUGUCUUCUUCACAGGGUUAUUAUGAGGAUUAAAUAGGAUUAUACAUAAUAAUAGUACAUUCAAACUAUAAAGAGCUGUUCCAGUAUCCAGAAUUUUCAUCAUCCCUCAAUACAAUGGCUCACCACCUACUACCACAUGGCCUAUAGAGUUGGAAGGGACCUCAGAAACCAUUUAUCAACACACACCAAUGCAUGGUCCUUCCUCCAACAUGCAUGAGCAAUGAAUCUCAGCCUCUGUAUGACCCUGCCAGCAACAGGUGAUGCACCACAUUAUGAAAUAGUACUUCCAUUAUUAGGCACUUUAUAAAUA
This is a long non-coding RNA of Leopardus geoffroyi (Geoffroy's cat), 2689 nucleotides long. RefSeq lists it as uncharacterized. The transcript has 3 exons. The record is from RefSeq and is a predicted model, not a curated record. Lineage: Eukaryota; Metazoa; Chordata; Mammalia; Carnivora; Felidae.